UGAGCUGGGGGGCUCUGGGAGGUCACUGUGCCUGGAGGCUGAGCUGGGGGGCUCUGGGAGGUCACUGUGCCUGGAGGCUGAGCUGGGGGGCUCUGGGAGGUCACUGUGCCUGGAGGCUGAGCUGGGGGGCUCUUGGAGGUCACUGUGCCUGGAGGCUGAGCUGGGGGGCUCUGGGAGGUCACUGUGCCUGGAGGCUGAGCUGGGGGGCUCUGGGAGGUCACUGUGCCAAAUUAAGAUUUGCUGUGAGUAAAGCGCUCAUUGCCAGUAAGCAAGACGUCAAACUGUAUCUCAGACAUUUAGUUCCAAAGAAUUUUUCAAAAAGGAAUUGUUCCUCACUUGGUAAAGUUGCAUAUAUUUAGUUUACUAAUAAGGGUGUAUGUUUAUGAUAAAUUCCUCAAGUAUACUUUAUACUUUCCUCAGGCCACAUUUCUAUGGCCAUUGCCACACCUUGGUGUUAUGGUACGUAGAAUUGCAGGUCAGGAUUGGUUUGGGGUAGUCAUUUUAAAGGCUAGUAAACCUCUGUUGAAGGUCAAAUCUGUGAAACUAAGGGCAUAACUCUCCUGCUUGGAGGUGGCUUGUGGUGGGUGAGUAGAUGGGGACUGUGGCCUUGUAAUGCCUGAGGCCUGGACUUGCCUCUGUUGGGACUGAGGAAGGGCCCAAUAGAAAACGUCUCAUCCUGACUGAGGAUAAGCAAUUUAGAGAGAGAAAGAAGUCAGAGUUUGAAAACUUAACAUAUCUCCUUUGUCAUAAAGCAGAUGCUGGAGAGUGUGGCUUCCAUCUGUAGGGAAAGAAUUUUCCUGAUACUGGACCUGAGAAUUAGGCCUCCUAGAAAGGUAGUACAGGGCACCGCCAGAUCCUCUCUGUGAAAGGAGCAGAGCAGAAAGCAAGUUCUCUGCCGGCAGAGGGGCUCCAAAGAGAAACGGAAGGUGAGGGGUAAGCCAGAAGUUACCAGCCUUGCUUGGCUUACAGACCCUGGCUAUCUCAGCACGUUUUUUAUAGCGCUCCUAGGCCAAAGGAAAUACCUAACAGUUCCAUCUACUAGUUUGGUCUAAACAACUUAAUAGUAGUAAUAAGCUCGGUGUCUGACAACUGUGUUUUCCCUGAAAAUAUCCCUAUUUCAGAACCCCAGUAAGUUUGCUGUGGUGCCCCAAGGCACUGUAGUGCAUCGUUUGGAAAAUGCAGUCUCCUUCAGAAAACUCAACAAUAUAAGUGUCACUCCUUACUCUCUUGGAGAAUGAGUUUGUUUUCUACAUCUAUAACUCUAUUUCUGUUCUGUAGAUAAGUUCAUUUGUACCCCUUUUAAGGUUCCACAUAUAAGUGAUAUCACCUGAUACUUGUCCUUCUCUGUCUGACUUACUUCACUCAGUAUGACAAUCUCUAGGUCCAUCCAUGUUGCUGCAAACGGCAUUAUUUUGUUCUUUUUAAUAGCUGAGUAGUAUUCCAUUGUAUAUAUGUACCACAUCUUCUUUAUCCAUUCCUCUGUUGGUGGACAUUUAGGUUGCUUCCAUGUCUUAGCUAUUGUAAAUAGUGCUGCAAUGAACACUGGGGUGCAUGUCUCUUUUUGAAUUAUGGUUUUUUCCAGAUAUACGCCCAGGAGUGGGAUUGCUGGAUCAUAUGGUCGCUCUAUUUUUAGUUUUUAAAGGAACUUCCAUACUGUUCUCCAUAGUGGUGGCUGUACCACCAACAGUGUGGGAGGGUUCCCUUUUCUCCACACCCUCUCCAGCAUUUAUUGUUUGUAGAUAUUUUGAUAAUGGCCAUUCUGACUAGUGUGAGAUGAUACCUCAUUGUAGUUUUGAUUUGCAUUUCACUAAGAAUUACUGAUGUUGAGCAUCUUUUAAUGUGCUUUUUAGCCAUCCAUAUGUCUUCUUUUUUUUUCUGAUUAAUUUUAUUUGGAGUAUGGUUGCUUUACAAUGUUGUGUUAACCUCCACUGCACAACAAAAUGAAUCAGCCAUAUACAUACAGAUAUCCCCUCCCUUUUGGACUUCCCUCCCAUUUAGGUUACCACAGUGCAUUAGGUUCUUGUGCUAUACAGUAUGUUCCCAUCAGUUGUCUCUGUUAUACAUAGUAUCAAUAAUGUAUAUGUGUCAGUCCCAGUCUCCCAAUUCCUCCCACCCCAUCACUUUCCCCCUUGGUAUCUAUACAUUUGUUCUCUAUGUCUGUGUCCUAUUUCUGCUUAGCAAAUAAGGUCAUCUACACCAUUUUUUUAGAUUCCACAUAUAUGCAUUAUUAUACGAUAUUUGCUUUUCUCUUUCUGACUUACUUCACUCUGUAUGAUACUCUUUAGACCAUCCAUAUUUCUAUAAAUGACCCAAUUUCAUUCCUUUUUUUGACUGAGUAAUAUCCCAUUGUAUAUAUGUACCACAUCUUCUUUAUCCACUGCUCUUUUGGUGGACAUUUAGGUUGCUUCCAUGUCCUGGCUAUUGUAAAUAGUGCUGCUGUGAACAUUGGGGUGCAUGUGUUUUGUUUGUUUGUUGUUGUUUUUUCGGUUUGUUUUUUUGAAUUAUGGUUUUCUUAGGGUAUAUGCCCAGUAUUGGGAUUGUUGGGUCAUAUAGUAGUUCUAUUUUUAGUUUUUUUUUUUUAACAUCUUUAUUGGAAUAUAAUUGCUUUACAAUGGUGUGUUACUAUAAUUGCUUUACAAUGGUGUGUUACUUUCUGCUUUAUAACAAAGUGAAUCAGCUAUACAUAUACAAAUAUCCCCAUAUCUCU
Orcinus orca (killer whale) is the source of this 2707-nucleotide long non-coding RNA. RefSeq lists it as uncharacterized. The transcript is spliced from 3 exons. Lineage: Eukaryota; Metazoa; Chordata; Mammalia; Artiodactyla; Delphinidae. The record is from RefSeq and is a predicted model, not a curated record.